GAUCGGCUUCAUUACCUUGGUCUUGAUUCUGAUUUCCAAGGUUCAUCUUGACUUGUCUUUGAGCUGUUCGUUCAUGUCUUCCUUGUCUGAAAGCUCACUCAAUUUCAGGGUCUAUAGGGAGUAAAUCGAUAAUUCGAUCUAUGCUCAUAAACACCUGAAAAGAAAAUCACAAAAUUAAAAAGAAUAAGUUAGUAAUGUUAGACAUAAACCAAAUUAGAAGUAAAUAAUUUCACAAAAAAAAAGAUGAUUAUGGAAACAGUUAACAAUCCCCG
Molecule: long non-coding RNA, 272 nt
Filed under: Gossypium barbadense (sea-island cotton)
Lineage: Eukaryota; Viridiplantae; Streptophyta; Magnoliopsida; Malvales; Malvaceae
Description: long non-coding RNA (GBAR_LNC012424)
Source: RNAcentral